Molecule: ribosomal RNA, 203 nt
Filed under: uncultured bacterium
Lineage: Bacteria
Description: partial 16S ribosomal RNA
Rfam family: Bacterial small subunit ribosomal RNA
Source: RNAcentral
GUAGUCUGCAACUCGACUACAUGAAGCUGGAAUCGCUAGUAAUCGCGAAUCAGAAUGUCGCGGUGAAUACGUUCCCGGGUCUUGUACACACCGCCCGUCACACCAUGGGAGUCAGUAACGCCCGAAGUCAGUGACCCAACCGGAACAGGAGGGAGCUGCCGAAGGUGGGACCGAUAACUGGGGUGAAGUCGUAACAAGGUAGC